RNAcentral lists this ribosomal RNA (421 nucleotides) under uncultured bacterium. RNAcentral describes it as "bacterial SSU rRNA". It matches the Rfam family "Bacterial small subunit ribosomal RNA", at positions 355 to 774 of the family's 1533-position model. The record is from RNAcentral.
UAAGGAAUAUUGGUCAAUGGACGCAAGUCUGAACCAGCCGUGCCGCGUGAAGGAUGAAGGUCCUCUGGAUUGUAAACUUCUUUUAUCUGGGACGAAAACGGGAUUUUUAUCUCAAUUGACGGUACCAGAGGAAUAAGCACCGGCUAACUCCGUGCCAGCAGCCGCGGUAAUACGGAGGGUGCGAGCGUUAUCCGGAUUUACUGGGUUUAAAGGGUGCGUAGGUGGGCUUAUAAGUCAGUGGUGAAAUCUCCGAGCUUAACUUGGAAACUGCCGUGGAUACUAUAGGUCUUGAAUUAUCUGGAGGUAAGCGGAAUAUGUCAUGUAGCGGUGAAAUGCUUAGAUAUGACAUAGAACACCAAUUGCGAAGGCAGCUUACUACAUAUAAAUUGACGCUGAGGCACGAAAGCGUGGGGAUCAAACA